ACUGGAUAUGUCCAAGUGUGCUGACUUCUUCUGUUGCUCAGUUCUUACAGGAAAGAGAACAGUGGUGAGACUGACUGUCAGAACUGAUGGAGAAAUAAAGGAUCCUGAAUUCAGCAGCCAUCUGUUAAUGCAGUUACAGGAGAAACUAAUCAGAGCAGGCAUGUCAGAAAGCACUAGACUACAGUGGAGAACUCAACACAGUGGCCAAAUCUUCAAUAUAAAAUAGAAAGAGCAUUGAAAACAAGGUGUCUGAAUUUGGAAGAGACUAGCCCUGUGUGUCUGGGGCUGCAGAGGGAGCUGUGGACCAGAGCAACCUGACAUGCAUUCAUUUCAGACCUCAGAACUCAAAGAAAU
Non-coding RNA from Paramormyrops kingsleyae, 354 nucleotides. The record is from RefSeq and is a predicted model, not a curated record. NCBI's taxonomy places the organism in Eukaryota, Metazoa, Chordata, Actinopteri, Osteoglossiformes, Mormyridae.